Molecule: ribosomal RNA, 1750 nt
Filed under: Acinetobacter baumannii TG15236
Lineage: Bacteria; Pseudomonadati; Pseudomonadota; Gammaproteobacteria; Moraxellales; Moraxellaceae
Description: bacterial LSU rRNA
Rfam family: Bacterial large subunit ribosomal RNA
Source: RNAcentral
UGCCGAAGCUGCGGAUUUGACAUUAGUCAAGUGGUAGGGGAGCGUUCUGUAAGCCGAUGAAGGUGUGUUGAGAAGCAUGCUGGAGGUAUCAGAAGUGCGAAUGCUGACGUGAGUAACGACAAAACGGGUGAAAAACCCGUUCGCCGAAAGACCAAGGGUUCCAGUCCAACGUUAAUCGGGGCUGGGUGAGUCGACCCCUAAGGCGAGGCCGAAAGGCGUAGUCGAUGGGAAAAUGGUUAAUAUUCCAUUACUUCUGUGUAAUGCGAUGAGAGGACGGAGAAGGCUAAAUCAGCCUGGCGUUGGUUGUCCAGGUGAAAGGAUGUAGGCAUGUAUCUUAGGCAAAUCCGGGGUACUCUAUGCUGAGAUCUGAUAGCAAGCUGUACUUGUACAGCGAAGUGGUUGAUGCCAUGCUUCCAGGAAAAGUCUCUAAGCUUCAGUUACACAGGAAUCGUACCCGAAACCGACACAGGUGGUCAGGUCGAGUAGACCAAGGCGCUUGAGAGAACUCUGCUGAAGGAACUAGGCAAAAUGGUACCGUAACUUCGGGAGAAGGUACGCUGUUGUUGGUGAUGGAACUCGCUUCCUGAGCUGACGACAGCCGCAGAAACCAGGCCGCUGCAACUGUUUAUUAAAAACAUAGCACUCUGCAAACACGAAAGUGGACGUAUAGGGUGUGAUGCCUGCCCGGUGCUGGAAGGUUAAUUGAUGGGGUUAGCGUAAGCGAAGCUCUUGAUCGAAGCCCCAGUAAACGGCGGCCGUAACUAUAACGGUCCUAAGGUAGCGAAAUUCCUUGUCGGGUAAGUUCCGACCUGCACGAAUGGCAUAAUGAUGGCGGCGCUGUCUCCAGCAGAGGCUCAGUGAAAUCGAAAUCGCUGUGAAGAUGCAGUGUACCCGCGGCUAGACGGAAAGACCCCGUGAACCUUUACUGCAGCUUGACACUGAACUUUGACCUUACUUGUGUAGGAUAGGUGGGAGGCUUUGAAGCUGGAACGCUAGUUCCAGUGGAGCCGUCCUUGAAAUACCACCCUGGUAAUGUUGAGGUUCUAACUCUGUCCCGUGAUCCGGGACGAGGACCGUGUCUGGUGGGUAGUUUGACUGGGGCGGUCUCCUCCUAAAGAGUAACGGAGGAGUACGAAGGUGCGCUCAGCGUGGUCGGAAAUCACGCGUAGAGUAUAAAGGCAAAAGCGCGCUUAACUGCGAGACCCACAAGUCGAGCAGGUACGAAAGUAGGUCUUAGUGAUCCGGUGGUUCUGUAUGGAAGGGCCAUCGCUCAACGGAUAAAAGGUACUCUGGGGAUAACAGGCUGAUACCGCCCAAGAGUUCAUAUCGACGGCGGUGUUUGGCACCUCGAUGUCGGCUCAUCUCAUCCUGGGGCUGAAGCAGGUCCCAAGGGUAUGGCUGUUCGCCAUUUAAAGAGGUACGCGAGCUGGGUUUAGAACGUCGUGAGACAGUUCGGUCCCUAUCUACCGUGGGCGCUGGAAAUUUGAGAGGAUCUGCUCCUAGUACGAGAGGACCAGAGUGGACGAACCUCUGGUGUACCGGUUGUGACGCCAGUCGCAUCGCCGGGUAGCUAUGUUCGGAAGGGAUAACCGCUGAAAGCAUCUAAGCGGGAAGCCUACCUCAAGAUAAGAUUUCCCUAGGACUUUAUGUCCUCUAAAGAGCCGUUCGAGACUAGGACGUUGAUAGGUUGGAUGUGGAAGCAUAGUGAUAUGUGAAGCUGACCAAUACUAAUUGCUCGUGAGGCUUGACU